RNAcentral lists this ribosomal RNA (253 nucleotides) under uncultured bacterium. Its description in RNAcentral is "partial 16S ribosomal RNA". It matches the Rfam family "Bacterial small subunit ribosomal RNA", at positions 524 to 776 of the family's 1533-position model. The record is from RNAcentral.
UACGUAGGGGGCUAGCGUUGUCCGGAAUCAUUGGGCGUAAAGCGCGCGUAGGCGGCCCGGUAAGUCCGCUGUAAAAGUCCAGGGCUCAACCCUGGAACGCCGGUGGAUACUGUCGGGCUAGAGUCCGGAAGAGGCGAGUGGAAUUCCUGGUGUAGCGGUGGAAUGCGCAGAUAUCAGGAGGAACACCAGCGGCGAAGGCAGUUCGCUGGCAGUCUCCUGACGCUGAGGCGCGAAAGCGUGGGUAGCAAACAGG